Puntigrus tetrazona (Sumatra barb) is the source of this 382-nucleotide long non-coding RNA. RefSeq lists it as uncharacterized. Lineage: Eukaryota; Metazoa; Chordata; Actinopteri; Cypriniformes; Cyprinidae. The record is from RefSeq and is a predicted model, not a curated record. The transcript is spliced from 2 exons.
GAGAGAGAGAGUGUGUGUGUGUGUGUGUGUGUGAGAGUGUGUGUGUGUGAGAGAGAGUGUAGUGUGUGUGUGUGUGUGUGUGUGUGUGAGAGAGAGAGAGAGAGAGUUAAACAGGGAACGCUGGCGCUCUUUCCCUACAUGUUGCACUUUUUCUGAAAGCAGCCAAUGAGAGCAGGUCUGGUCACAGACUCCGCCCACACACAUUGUUGUCAUUGAGUUUUAAUAGAUUUGAAAGAAAAACUAGCAAUAAGAGACAGAGGAUCUGAUCAAUCCCUGAGCAUCGACCGCAGAAUGAUUCUCAUAUUUAUUAUAAAUGUAAAGAUUAGCGGAACAUAUAAAAGUGUUUGGUUUAAUAAAGAUCUGUUGACUGAUGAGAUGUUUA